CCUACGGGAGGCAGCAGUGGGGGAUAUUGCACAAUGGGGGAAACCCUGAUGCAGCGACGCCGCGUGAGUGAAGAAGGAUUUCGGUGUGUAAAGCUCUAUUUGCAGGGAAGAAAAUGACUGUACCUGACCAAGAAGCUCCGGCUAACUACGUGCCAGCAGCGGCGGUAAUACGUAGGGGGCAAGCGUUAUCCGGAUUUACUGGGUGUAAAGGGAGCGUAGUCGGAUUUGCAAGUCAGGAGUGAAAGUCCGGGGCCCAACCCGGGGACUGCAGUGGAAACUGUCAGGCUGGAGUACAGGAGGGGCGGGCGGAAUUCGUGGUGUAGCGGUGAAAUGCGUAGAUAUCAGGAAGAACACCGACGGCGAAGGCAGCCUGCUGGACUGAAACUGACGUUGAGGCUCGAAAGCGUGGGGAGCAAACAGGAUUAGAUACCCUAGUAGUC
This 440-nucleotide ribosomal RNA is filed under the name uncultured bacterium. RNAcentral's name for it is "partial 16S ribosomal RNA". It matches the Rfam family "Bacterial small subunit ribosomal RNA", at positions 338 to 795 of the family's 1533-position model. The record is from RNAcentral.